This 397-nucleotide ribosomal RNA is filed under the name Protaspa sp. RNAcentral's name for it is "partial small subunit ribosomal RNA". It matches the Rfam family "Eukaryotic small subunit ribosomal RNA", at positions 582 to 975 of the family's 1831-position model. The record is from RNAcentral. Lineage: Eukaryota; Cercozoa; Thecofilosea; Cryomonadida; Protaspidae.
AUUCCAGCUCCAAUAGCGUAUAUUAAAGUUGUUGCGGUUAAAAAGCUCGUAGUUGGAUUUCUGGUACAAUGCGCCUGGCCCGCGGCGGUUACGCCUGUGAGUGCCGGUGCGCGUUUGCCAUCCUUCUAGAAAACGUUUCUACCCUUAACUGGGCCGGACUCGCGAUCUAGAUCUUUUACUUUGAAAAAAUUAAAGUGUUUAAAGCAGGCUUUUGCUGUGAAUACAUUAGCAUGGAAUAAUAAUCUAGAACUUCGGUUCUAUUUUGUUGGUUUCUAGUACUGAAGUAAUGAUUGAUAGGGAUAGUUGGGGGUGCUAGUAUUGGCCGGCCAGAGGUGAAAUUCUUGGAUUCGGUCAAGACUAACUUAUGCGAAAGCAUUCACCAAGGAUGUCUUCAUCG